CCGGGGUGGCGGCCGGAGGGCCGGCGGUGGCGCGGCGGCCGGAGGUGUAGAUAGACCUCAAUGCAAUUUGCUUGAGUGUCUGCUUUUAAUGUUCUCACAUCUGGGCAUUUGAAGCUGAUGAAAUGCAGCACACAUCAACAGAAUCCAUGAAUUUUUAAGCAAGCAGACAAGCAUUUGAUCCAAAAGAUGUUGCUCUAAGAGUCAGUGAACUCUAGUUUUGGCAGAAUUGCAUGACUUCUGCAACCAAGAAUGCUGUGCUGAACAUGCUGAACUGAGUCCCCAGAAGAGCCUACCAGGAAUGGGUUUGGCCAAAGGUGGCUUUUGACACAACCAGACAUUUUUAGUGAAGGAGCCAUAAGACAGAGAAGCCUGGAAAGACUAAAGCUGCAAGAACAGGAGCACGUUCGAAAAAMGGGGAAAAAAGAGAGGGGGUUGAAAGAAAAAGACGUGGUGAUGAAAAGAAGUUCAAGAGAGGAAAAGGAAAGCUAAGCUCGAGAGGAGAGAAGAGAGGCAGAUAGAUGGAGAUGAGAAACAUCCCCCAAAGCAGCAGAAGGUACCAGCUGAAGAACAGCAGUGGCCAGAGAAUAUGCCUGAAUGGGAAGAAAGGAAAUCCCUGCUAGCUCAGAGAAGAGUGGAGUCUGUCAGACUGCUUACAGUGCUGUUAAAUCGUGUGAAAUUGGCAAAUCAAAAAGUGGAUCUUUCACUGGGCGUAAGGAAGGACGAUUCAUUUUCUGAAACAGCAUUUAAAGACUUACAGCAGGAGCUGAUUAAUUCCCUUUAUUGUACGCACAAAGAGUUGAAACAUAAGGAGGAAUUUAAGUGCCCAAAGUUAACCCAAAAAUUUAGUGAUUUAUGUAGUGAGGCAGGAGAUGUGAGUCAUUUCUGUGCAUCCACUUGUCAUAUAGUCAGGACAGUUGUGAAUGAUCCCUGUCCAGCCCCGAGCUGUGAUGGACUGGCUGGCAGAGAUGUGAGCAGCUCCUCUGGCUGCGGGCCUUUGCUGAUCACGGUCACCCAGGAUGGCAGGGUCAUUGAAGCUCUCCAUGGAAGGCACCACCCUGCGCUGGAUGGAGAUCACACACAGACAGUGCCUGAGGAAGAUGAUUGUAAAAAGCAAAAGGUUUAUGAGACUGAUGAAUUCAUCCAUUAUUUACUAAACUACUAUCAGACACCACACUAUGCACGUGUUUGCUUAGAGCCAAAAGCCACUGUGAACAAGUCCUGGUGGAAGCGAGUGGUGUCUGAGGAUGGUCGUGGGUUUGACGUCAGCUUGAGUAACAAACAUGGUCAGCACUUGAGAGAAGUGAGUUCUAUACAAAACCUCCACAACAGAAAUUGUAGUAGUGAUGGUAAUUAUAGACUGGUGAUCACUCUUGGGGAACUUCAGUCAACAGACAAAGUGUUAGAAAGCAAGGUCCAUGGGGGCAAGCUUGCAAAAAAGCUGCAAGUGCAGAGGAAUGACUCACUCACUGUUGAUAACUUACCACAUGCUGGACUGAAUCAUUCUUUGGAGUGCACUGCUGUUACUCAUGAUAAGGAAUUCAAACGAGAAGAUGGUAGAGAUGAAGGCACUGUACCAUAUGGAACAUCUAGAUCUGCUCACAGAUUAAAGGAUUUGUUGGAAGAGAUCAGUGAUUCUGAGUACUUUAGAGAGACAUGUGGCAGCUCAGUGAAGAGAGCAGAAAGAAAGUAUGAAGACAUUCACAGCAGUUGUAAUAAAGGGUGCUUGCCUGCAASAGCCAGGGAAAGAAGUUUACUGUUUUACCAUAAAAAUGCAGCUCUGGAAGGUCAAGAGAAGGAAGUCAGCAAAUGUAACUCCUGUUCUAGCUCUGUCCAUGAGGACUUGGCAGGGCAGUACAAAUGUAAGCUUAAAAAGUCAUGCAAGAGGUCUAGUAGUAAAUUAAGAUAUGAAGGACAGAAAACUGAAAGACAAUCCAGGGAAAAGGAGAGAAAUGCUCAUAAAGUGAAGAAAAAGCGAAAAAAGCUUUCUUCUGAUCUUUUGUCUGAUGAAUGCGGCUUUUCAGAGACGGACAGUUGCAUGCAGCUGGAGUCUCUCAGAAAGAUACAGAGAAAAUGUAAGAAAAUGUUGCACAAAAAAGUGAAAUUCAAGACCCUUCACACCUCUAUGGCAGCACCAGAUGUUACCCCACAUGAUGGCUCACCUCUUCAGGAGACCCUUCAGAGCAGAGGAGAUGAGAGGAAAUUAAUGUUGAGAAGAGAGAUGGAUGCAGAUGUCAGAGGAUGCCCUCUAUUUCCUCUUGAGAUAAUUCAGACAAAUCCCUGCUCAGAUACUUUCUGUGGAGCAGAGCCCAGAAGAGGAUGCUGAACAACUACUGUAUAAUAGCUCUGAAGUUUUUACACAGAAGUGGGAGAAGAAAGCCCUUUGAUCAUUAAAAGAUUAAAGAUGACAAAACUUCCCCCUCUGUCAAUCUAUAGACAGUUCUGUGUCCAUGAGUAGCCCYUUCCCAUGAGACAGGCCUUUCGAUGACAGGUGAGGAAGUAUUUCUUUUUGUUAAUCUGGGGGAGAAGGAAUUGAAGAUUUCCUUCUCUGGUGUAAAUUUCCAGUGUUUUAUCCACAUGCUGUCACAAUGACCAAUAACAAAUAAAUACUCMAUUUCUGUAAUUGCUUCGUGCGUUCACCUAUAUUGAUUGAAAUUGAUAGAGGGUUUGCUUUAUCUCCAAGUCCUCAUUCCAUGUAAAACAUUGGUAGUAAAUAAAAUAUGCAUGCACUUUAAAAUGUGAGACAUCAUUGUAAUCUUCAUACCGAGAGAGAACUUUUGUGUUUCCUGUUUGACAUUAUUUAGAACCUGAUUUCAGGUGUUUCAAUAUUAAUGCUUUACUUUUCAUGAAAUGAUAGAAUGGAUUGGAACCUUCAAGACUGUCUUGUUCCCACCCCUAUGCCAAGGGUAGGGGCACCUUCCACCUACUCCAAGCACUGUCCAGCCAGGUCUUGAACACUUCCAGGGAUGGGGCAUCCACAGUUUCUUUUUUGCCAGCACCUUACCACACUCACGAAUUYCUUUUUCCUGUCAGCACAUUUGAGUCCCAUCCUUCCAUACACUGGGCUGCUCAGUAUAAUUUUAUGAUCCUGAAGGCUGAGCUUUAAAGAUACAUGUAAGAGCUUCCUUUAAAACUUAAAAUGCAUGGCUUUGUAGAUUGGAUUGUAGUAGUUAUAAAUGUCACAUCCCAAGAAUGAAGGUUACAGAAUGUUUUAGCAAUUAGUACAUUUAUUAGGUGAAAAGAUGCAUUUAAAGCAGCAUUGAUGUAGUUCAGCAAUGGAAAUGUAGAAYAUUGCUGGCAUAAUUUCACACCUUUCAGUUUGAACCUGCUAUGUGCYUUUGUGCCCAGCUGGUGUUUCAAGAGGCUGAGUGUUUUUUAUGGAAACACUGUUUACUCUGACAUGUAUGCAGUUGGGCCCCAGGACUGCAGAUCUUGCCAUCAAAUCUAACUUUCUGUGCAGAAAUAGUGAACGUCUCGUCAUAGAGCUGGUAGGAGCAGAAGUUGGCUGAACAAGGCUUUGUUGCUGAAAAUAUGURACCUGUGGGUUGUACCUUGUGCUGAAUGCUGAAGUCCAAAUCCUACAGGCUGGUUUUGAAGCAGGAAUACACAAUGCCCAUUAUUAAAUCAGUCCAUCUGCUUGAAAUACAAUACAGCAGUUAUGAUAUAAUGCCCUUUCAUUUUAAUCCAGGGAUUCCAGGCAAUGCAUAGAAAUGCCUCACCUUUUGUAAAACCCCUUAUGUAACUCCACAGAAGCAUUMAUUACUGAACUUUUUUUUGUUUAACUGAAACAGCAGGAAGUAAGAGAUAAUAAAGGGCAGGUGAGGUCCAGAUGAAAGAAUAGCUGAAUUUUACAAAGCAGUUGACAGUAUGAMWGACGUGGUUGRAAAUGAGAUGCAACCCAAUUGUUUUGAUUUGUCYUAGARUAUAUCUCUAUCAGUGUACCUUGUGACASGUGUUGGACACAUCAGAUGAGGGAGACUGGUGACAGUCUCUGCAUUUAAUUGGUCAUCAUGCCCUACCUGGUUAAUGUACAGCCUGAGGAGCUGCUGGCACGGUUCUUUUUGCACAGUCAUCGCUGCCAGUCACUGUUGAAGGAAGGGUUCAAGUUGUAAUGAACGAAGAGUAMAAAAGAAGCUAAAACCCAUCCAUUUUCUUCAGCACUUUGAAAGGAAGUAAAAUCCAUGCCUGCUGCUUUAUAAGCWGCUUUUGUGACUCACUUCUUCYCCUGUCACAAAUUUUCUCUGAAAGGGUAACAAUCUUACCAAAGUGUCAUACUUCCUCCCCAAGAMGUAUUAMCAAUGAGGUUUGUCUUGUGUUACUGCCUGYUUUCUGCAUGGUUUUUGUUACAAUUUUUCUUUGUGAUGCAUAGUGUUCUAAUAUACAGAUUAAUACUUWAAAUARUGUUCUGUUCCUUGGGAGAUGUUAYGGAGUAACUUAAAAGUCAGGUGGUUGGGUACUGAAGGGUAGAUUAGCCUUCCAAAGCUCCAGCUUUUAAUCAGAAUAAACAAUUACUUGGGUUUUUUUCUUUUUUUUCUGCCUAAUUCUGUAUUUGCAACAGGGCRUGUUCUCUAUUUAAUAUUCCACUAAAGUUAUACUAGAGAACUGCAUUGACAAACAUUCCAUUAGAACAUAUUUUUCUCAAUCUAUGCAUUGGAUAAUGUGAGACAUUGAGAAAGACAAUAUAAAACUCAAAACAUUAGGGGAGGAUUAAAUGUAACAUUUGGUUGCAGUAAAUAAAAAAACAAACACCACCAUUAUUCAAGAGUAUUUUAUUUUCUGCCUUAAACAAAUAAAAGCACAUUUCCAAUUUGAGGUAAACCAUUAGUAGUAGUUUGCAAAGAGUAUAAAUGUCUCUAAAAAUAAAAUAGCAACACAAAGGUCAUGACAAGGUCUACAUGUGUCUAGACCCUCCUUAGGUAGUUCAUACAGUACCACUUUACACAAGCUYUCUGGCUCAAACAACCAUACUCUUCAUCAGAAGGCCCAGUGCAACCUAAAGAAAAUGCUAGGACAGUGUUGGGACUGUGGGAGAGUCAGUUGUUCUCACCACAAAUGCUCUCAGGCACUUUAACAUGUUGUGUCAACUUGUUUAUGAAAGCUGCUGUUGUGCAACACCCUCUACUUCCGAACACUUUUGCCUARUUUACACCUUCCCACUCAGGACUCAGUUCAUCAUUUUGAUCGUGUUGCCAAAUUGAAACAACCAGACAGCUGAGCCAGAGAMAUGAAAUAGAAGGAAUUACACCAGACAGGCACCCUGGAUAUUCUGCACUAGCAGAAUCAACUGGACAAGAAACAAGUUUACAAGUGAUCAGCAAAUCCUUAGUUAUCUUGGAAUUUAUAAGWCAGUUUUAUGUAAGUAUUUUGGAUGAUGAACAUUUACAUUUUUCCUUGGUCAUAACCAUUUACCCAGCCCUGUCUGGUAGGAGGCAGGUCACUUAGAAAAAACUUAGUAAUUAAGCACAGAGGUGAGCCAAGAGAGCAAAUAAGUAAAAAGCAACUCAAA
Molecule: RNA transcript, 5503 nt
Organism: Malurus melanocephalus (red-backed fairy wren)
Lineage: Eukaryota; Metazoa; Chordata; Aves; Passeriformes; Maluridae
Gene name: A-kinase anchor protein 17B-like
Exons: 7
Source: RefSeq, a predicted model, not a curated record